GAUGAACGCUGGCGGCGUGCCUAAUACAUGCAAGUCGAGCGAACAGACGAGGAGCUUGCUCCUCUGACGUUAGCGGCGGACGGGUGAGUAACACGUGGAUAACCUACCUAUAAGACUGGGAUAACUUCGGGAAACCGGAGCUAAUACCGGAUAAUAUAUUGAACCGCAUGGUUCAAUAGUGAAAGACGGUUUUGCUGUCACUUAUAGAUGGAUCCGCGCCGCAUUAGCUAGUUGGUAAGGUAACGGCUUACCAAGGCAACGAUGCGUAGCCGACCUGAGAGGGUGAUCGGCCACACUGGAACUGAGACACGGUCCAGACUCCUACGGGAGGCAGCAGUAGGGAAUCUUCCGCAAAGGGCGAAAGCCUGACGGAGCAACGCCGCGUGAGUGAUGAAGGUCUUCGGAUCGUAAAACUCUGUUAUUAGGGAAGAACAAAUGUGUAAGUAACUAUGCACGUCUUGACGGUACCUAAUCAGAAAGCCACGGCUAACUACGAG
This 497-nucleotide ribosomal RNA is filed under the name uncultured bacterium. Its description in RNAcentral is "partial 16S ribosomal RNA". It matches the Rfam family "Bacterial small subunit ribosomal RNA", at positions 28 to 507 of the family's 1533-position model. The record is from RNAcentral.